AAGCCACCCCUCUUGCCCCCCGGUGUCGUGGCCUUCCAGGUAACGGUGUGAGUAGUGCUGAGGUGGGGCUGAGAACAUCCCGCCUGGGACACAACGUGCGCGAGGCUCUGCCCGCGCCACCGGCGAGGUUUGUAUCGUUGGGCUGAGCAAGCUCUUCACCGGCGAGGUUUGUCUCGUUGGGCUGAGCAAGCUCUUCACCAGCGAGGUUUGUCUCGUUGGGCUGAGCAAGCUCUUCACCGGCGAGGUUUGUAUCGUUGGGCUGAGCAAGCUCUUCACCGGUGAGGUUUGUAUCAUUGGAAUGAGCAAGCUCUUCCCGGUUGCUUCUUGCUGGUUGGGCUGGUGUGACCAGCUGUGCCCAUUUCCCCCUUCCUGCUCCCUAAAUCUCCGAACUUUCCCCCUCCAAGCUUAUAAGCUGGACUGGGGCCUGGGCGGUACAUAAGGCUGGUGUGCGAGUGGGACAAAUGCUCUGGAUGACCCAUAGGUGAAGCUAUCAAAUGCCCUCCGAGACGUGGCUGCCCCCUCCAGAGGUAACACCGCCGCUCUGGGGAGGCCUCAAAGUGCUUGUAAAUCGUAGCUUUCAUGGGUGGCAUCGAGUCUUCAUAAAACUCUCAAAGUUACUGUCUGCAACAUGCAGGGAGAAUUCAGUGCGUAUUUUCCUAAACCCCCUCAAAAAUGAGCAGGUUGGGGAGAAGCAGCCUUGCCAGAGCCUYCUGUGAAACCACCCAUGUUGACUAGAUGUGCGUGUAAGUGCAAACACCGACACCCUGCUCCUUUUAAGUUCUGUCAUUUUGGUGUGGUUAACUAGAAGCCAACAGAAUCGAGGCCGAAGCAGCUUUUCAAGAAACGGUUUCUUCGUUUGGAUGCAAUAUUUUCAGGGAAGCGACACUGCUAAGAGUUAAGCACCCCUUCCUACACAAAGUUAAUGCUUCUUAGAAAGGAUUAAGCCWGGUCCUUGAACAAGAGCGAUGCUUCCUUUCUUCAGGGGAAAUUACCUUUCUCAUAGUGAAGCUUUUCAAGUGCCAUAUUUGGUUCAUAUCUUCUUUUAUUUCGUAUAAUCUAUAAUUUUUCCUCUCUUCUUUUUCCCCCAGAGGAGGCAGCCAUUGCAUUCUUUUGAACACACUAUGUAAACAGUAGUUUUUACAGUGAAAAAAGAUUGAGCUGGCCUUUCCAGUAAAUUUUCAGUAAAAGCUGAAAAUUUGAAUACAAAAGCACUUUAAAACCUGCAUUUGGUUAAAAAACCUGUAUUGUCCAUUCAGACUGUGAGAGAAAAACAUGAUUUCUGUCAUAAUUUCAAGAAUUUUAGUGGUAUGCAUUAAAGCUUGAAGUUACAUUUGAAAUAUAAAUUUAAAUAUGAAGUUGCAUUUUAAAUGUCAAAUAAUGAAUUACUGUCAAGUAACAACUGUCUUUACCCCUGACUUUAGAAAUACUUCUAACACUUGUCAUCUAACCAAAGAGUUUCACAAUAGGGUUUUAUUUUUAAAACCYUAAUUCCUAUGAGAAGAGCUGUACUUACAUAUGUACUGAGUCUGAGUUUCAGUGCUUAGUGUCUGUCUUCACCACUUGGUCUUUUGUUAAGUGCAUGCAUAAAUUCUGCAUAAAACUGAAAAUAAUUUGCAUUGCCAUGAGAUUUUUUUUUCUUUUUUAAUACUAGCAGGAUUGUUUAUUGAUGUGAUUACAUUGAAAAUGCACAUACGAAAGCACCGGGUAUCAUGCAGUUGUAGAUAGCUGUAAAAUGGACUAUUUUUAAAAGGAGAGAAAUGUAUGCCUGUCAAAUCAGAUGAGCAAUAAGAUAGCCAUGGGAGGCCAGUACACCUGAAGAACAAGGACUGAAAGCUGUGUGUCCUAUGCCUUACUCUGACAUGAUUCCUUUGUGCUUAGCUUAUUUAUACCGGAGUGGAAGGAUUCUGAUCGCAGCUACUGGGGCUUURCAGUGUCCAUCCUCAAGGAUAAUGACAGUCUUUUUCUAAUUUCUGUUAAGUAAUUCUCAAGUAUGUUUUUUAAAAUUUUGUAUAGAAUCAGUUUUCGGUAAAGUGCUUAAAUUCACUCUAGAUGGCUUCCUUUUUUWAAGGAUCUUGUACUUCGGCUUACUAAACCCAUCAGAGGAGCUAUGAAUAGAGGCAGUUUUAAAUUGAAAUUGUCAUUUAGUGUACAUAUAUACAGCAUAUAAACAUUUUACAUGAAUCAUUUAGUUUUUUAAUUGUUUUAGUGCUACAGGAUUUCAUAAUACAGCUAGCUGAACAUUUGCAUUUUACACUAUGUACAUAAUAUGGUCAUGUUUUAUUGGUCUCCUGUACCUGUUUCUAUGGAAGAUCUGAACACGAGUAUCAGCAUAACUGUGGAACUGAAAUGGAUUACUUAUUUGCUUGAAUGUGAAUCAUAACCUAACCUCCAGAUGGCUAAAUGCAUCUCUAAAAUGAGGGUUGCCUGUAUUUUGAUCAGUGAAUGCCUGUCUGUUUGCUAGCAGGUGACUCAGAAACUCUUGUGACCUUUUACAGUAAAAAUGGAUGUAAUAAAAGCAUAAUCUGAUGAUUUUUCAUCUCCAUGUUUGUGCUAAAAACUUUAGGCACUGGGGUCCUUCAUUUUCCAAUCACUCAUUACGAUCCAGGCUUAAAGCAGUAGUGCCAUAAGUUUAAUAGCCAUUUGAUGCUUUACCAGGGAAGAUUAACACAAAUCAAUAAUUUCUGUCAAAUGUGUAAACUG
Molecule: long non-coding RNA, 2700 nt
Organism: Nothoprocta perdicaria
Lineage: Eukaryota; Metazoa; Chordata; Aves; Tinamiformes; Tinamidae
Exons: 2
Source: RefSeq, a predicted model, not a curated record